AUUUAAUUUGUGGAAAAAUAAAGAUGUCUUGGUUAUAUGCUGGAGUGGUGUAGUUCAUUGCCAUCUCUUGAACUUUCUAGACCCUAUCCUGUCUUGAAAUUUGGGAACUGACAGACUGAUAAACCCUGAGACUCACAUGAUCAUUGCAGUGAAGAACAAGUAAAAGAAUCAUGAUCAUUCCCUUAUUUCAGACCUUCGUUGGCACUCCCUCUUCUACAGAAUGCAGUCCACACUCUGAGUGAGGGUAAAUACACAGCAGCAUAAUGUGCUCCUGUUAUCCUCAUACCCUCAGCCUCUCCUGUUCCUCUGACUUUUCACCUUUUGCUAUUGGAACACUGGACUCAGACACAGAGCUGUUUCAUUGCAUUGUGUCUUUGUCCAUCUUGUUCCUUUUUCUGGGAAAGGACAUUAUAUGCCAGAAGCAAGAGGUGAGUUAUAUCAUUUAAUUCUUACCUGACUUUGAUCUGCUUUGUUGGUGACUUGUAAGGUAGUCAAUGAUUUUGUUGGCUUGAUAGAGGAUUGUAUCAUUCAUUUCACAAUCACUUAUUAAUUGCCUUCUAUGUGCUAAGCAAGGCGCUGAGAUAGAGAAGUAAGACAGAAUCCCCAUCUUCAACUAGCUUAUGGAGAGAAGUUAAAUAAGUGCUAUGUUAAAUAGCAUGGUCAAGAUAGAAGGAAACCUCACUUGGCAAGUUCUGGAUUAAUCCUGACUUUGCCAGGGAGAUUGGAGCAACUGGGCUUUGCAGAAAAAGCAAUUAACCUAGCAAAGGAAUGAGUGCGUGAGCAACCCAACAUAAAAAGAAAUGUUCUUGGACAUGGUUUUUGACAGGUCUAUGGCUUUAAGAGCACCAAGCUUGCCCAGGAGAAGAGUUUUGCUCAAUACACUCAAUGAUGUGGUCAGAGUUUAUCAAGAUAGUUCCCAAAAUAUUGAAAAGAAGAAUAUUCACAGAAGAAAAGCGGGGAGUGGGCAGGUAAUGUGAUCAAGACUUUUGGCACUCUUUUGGAGUAUUUUGGAGUCUCUGGGUCAGGCAAUAUAUGUUUCACUUACCAAUUAUCUGAUCUAUCAACACAUUCAAGGACACAGCCUGGGUAAGUUUGUGUCAUGCCCAGUAGCACAACCCUACCCCCCCCCCCCCCCACAUAAUCUGGAAAUCCCACCUUUUCAUGUCUA
RNAcentral lists this long non-coding RNA (1168 nucleotides) under Equus caballus (horse). Its description in RNAcentral is "lncRNA (ENSECAG00000044173.1)". Lineage: Eukaryota; Metazoa; Chordata; Mammalia; Perissodactyla; Equidae. The record is from RNAcentral.